Molecule: ribosomal RNA, 331 nt
Filed under: uncultured Chlorobiota bacterium
Lineage: Bacteria; Pseudomonadati; Chlorobiota
Description: bacterial SSU rRNA
Rfam family: Bacterial small subunit ribosomal RNA
Source: RNAcentral
GACGAACGCUGGCGGCGUGCCUAACACAUGCAAGUCUACGAGAAUGAGGUAGCAAUAUCUCUAGUAAAGUGGCGCAAGGGUGAGUAAUAUGUAAGUAAUUUACCUAUGGGCUUGGAAUAACGUCGAGAAAUCGGCGCUAAUACCAAAUAAUGCAGCGGCACCACAUGGUGAUGUUGUUAAAGUUGCAGCAAUGUAACUCCUAUAGAUAAGCUUGCAGCUGAUUAGCUAGUUGGUAGUGUAAUAGACUACCAAGGCAACGAUCAGUAGCUGGUCUGAGAGGAUGAUCAGCCACACUGGAACUGAGACACGGUCCAGACUCCUACGGGUGCUG